AACUUAUGACCCAGUGAACCUGGUCCAACCUCUAGUAGGUUGCGUACUGGUGCUUCACGGGUCAUUCUUCUGGAGAGCAUUACCUCCCUUGAUUGGGCGGGUGGUGUAAUUCAGAUCAUUUACUGUGAGUAAAUCAAAGUGUUCAAAGCAGGCUUAAUGCUUGUAUGGUUCAGCAUGGAAUAAUAAGAUAAGACUUCGGUUUUGUUUUGUUGGCUAGACGAACCAAAGUAAUGAUUGAAAGGGAUAGUUGGGGGUGCUAGUAUUCAGUGGUCAGCGGUGAAAUGCGAGGACCCAUUGAAGACUAACUUAUGCGAAAGCAUU
Molecule: ribosomal RNA, 321 nt
Filed under: uncultured Thalassomyxa
Lineage: Eukaryota; Endomyxa; Vampyrellida
Description: SSU rRNA
Rfam family: Eukaryotic small subunit ribosomal RNA (bases 105-321)
Source: RNAcentral